This 520-nucleotide ribosomal RNA is filed under the name uncultured bacterium. RNAcentral's name for it is "bacterial SSU rRNA". It matches the Rfam family "Bacterial small subunit ribosomal RNA", at positions 24 to 518 of the family's 1533-position model. The record is from RNAcentral.
UCAGGACGACGCUGGCGGCGUGCCUAAUACAUGCAAGUCGAACGGCUUUCGUAUGGAAGCUUGCUUCCACUGAGAAGAUAGUGGCGAACGGGUGAGUAACACGUGGGUAACCUGCCCAUAAGAGGGGGAUAACGAUCCGGAAACGGGUGCUAAUACCGCAUAGUUUUCUUGAUCGCAUGAUUGAGAAAGGAAAGACGGCCUUUGUGCUGUCGCUUAUGGAUGGACCCGCGGCGUAUUAGUUAGUUGGUGAGGUAACGGCUCACCAAGACGAUGAUACGUAGCCGACCUGAGAGGUGAUCGGCCACAUUGGGACUGAGACACGGCCCAAACUCCUACGGGAGGCAGCAGUAGGGAAUCUUCCGCAAUGGACGAAAGUCUGACGGAGCAACGCCGCGUGAGUGAAAGAAGGUUUUCGGAUCGUAAAACUCUGUUGUCAGAGAAGAACAAGUUGGAGAGUAACUGCUCCAGCCUUGACGGUAUCUGACCAGAAAGCCACGGCUAACUACGUGCCAGCCGCGGC